AACGUAGGUGGCGAGCGUUGUCCGGAAUUACUGGGUGUAAAGGAGCGCAGGCGGAAUGGCAAGUUGGAUGCGAAAUCCAGGGGCUCAACCCCUGAACUGCAUUCAAAACUGCUGUUCUUGAGUGAUGUAGAGGCAAGGGGAAUUCCCGGUGUAGCGGUGGAAUGCGUAGAUAUCGGGAGGAACACCAGUGGCGAAGGCGGCUUGCUGGGCAUUUACUGACGCUGAGGCUCGAAAGUAUGGGGAGCAAACA
RNAcentral lists this ribosomal RNA (250 nucleotides) under uncultured bacterium. Its description in RNAcentral is "partial 16S ribosomal RNA". It matches the Rfam family "Bacterial small subunit ribosomal RNA", at positions 524 to 774 of the family's 1533-position model. The record is from RNAcentral.